Molecule: ribosomal RNA, 446 nt
Filed under: marine sediment bacterium BB0608_AND_3.1_5G0
Lineage: Bacteria
Description: bacterial SSU rRNA
Rfam family: Bacterial small subunit ribosomal RNA
Source: RNAcentral
GCUAGAUAUGAUUAGUGGCGGACGGGUGAGUAACAUUUAGGAAUCUGCCUAGUAGUGGGGGAUAGCUCGGGGAAACUCGAAUUAAUACCGCAUACGACCUACGGGUGAAAGGGGGCGCAAGCUCUUGCUAUUAGAUGAGCCUAAAUCAGAUUAGCUAGUUGGUGGGGUAAAGGCCCACCAAGGCGACGAUCUGUAACUGGUCUGAGAGGAUGAUCAGUCACACCGGAACUGAGACACGGUCCGGACUCCUACGGGAGGCAGCAGUGGGGAAUAUUGGACAAUGGGGGCAACCCUGAUCCAGCCAUGCCGCGUGUGUGAAGAAGGCCUUUUGGUUGUAAAGCACUUUAAGCAGGGAGGAGAGGCUAAUGGUUAAUACCCAUUAGAUUAGACGUUACCUGCAGAAUAAGCACCGGCUAACUCUGUGCCAGCAGCCGCGGUAAUACAGA